GAAGAAGAACCAAAGAACUGCUAACUCUUUAUCCCAUGCCUAAACGCAUGGCUUCCUCA
Molecule: transfer RNA, 59 nt
Filed under: Petrodromus tetradactylus (four-toed elephant shrew)
Lineage: Eukaryota; Metazoa; Chordata; Mammalia; Macroscelidea; Macroscelididae
Description: tRNA-Ser
Source: RNAcentral